UGGGGAAUAUUGCACAAUGGGCGCAAGCCUGAUGCAGCCAUGCCGCGUGUAUGAAGAAGGCCUUCGGGUUGUAAAGUACUUUCAGCGGGGAGGAAGGGAGUAAAGUUAAUACCUUUGCUCAUUGACGUUACCCGCAGAAGAAGCACCGGCUAACUCCGUGCCAGCAGCCGCGGUAAUACGGAGGGUGCAAGCGUUAAUCGGAAUUACUGGGCGUAAAGCGUACGCAGGCGGUUUGUUAAGUCAGAUGUGAAAUCCCCGGGCUCAACCUGGGAACUGCAUCUGAUACUGGCAAGCUUGAGUCUCGUAGAGGGGGGUAGAAUUCCAGGUGUAGCGGUGAAAUGCGUAGAGAUCUGGAGGAAUACCGGUGGCGAAGGCGGCCCCCUGGACGAAGACUGACGCUCAGGUGCGAAAGCGUGGGGAGCAAACAGG
Molecule: ribosomal RNA, 429 nt
Filed under: Chloroflexota bacterium
Lineage: Bacteria; Bacillati; Chloroflexota
Description: Chloroflexi bacterium partial 16S ribosomal RNA
Rfam family: Bacterial small subunit ribosomal RNA
Source: RNAcentral